GACAUAGGGGGCAAGCGUUGUUCGGAAUUACUGGGCGUAAAGGGAGCGUAGGCGGGAGAUUAAGUUAAGAGUGAAAGCCUUGGGCUCAACCCAAGAAAUGCUCUUAAUACUGGUUUUCUAGAGUGUGGGAGAGGUAAGUGGAAUUCCUAGUGUAGCGGUGAAAUGCGUAGAUAUUAGGAGGAACACCAGUGGCGAAGGCGGCCUGCUGGACGACAACUGACGCUGAGGCGCGAAAGCGUGGGGAGCAAACAGG
RNAcentral lists this ribosomal RNA (253 nucleotides) under uncultured bacterium. RNAcentral's name for it is "partial 16S ribosomal RNA". It matches the Rfam family "Bacterial small subunit ribosomal RNA", at positions 524 to 776 of the family's 1533-position model. The record is from RNAcentral.